UACGAAGGGGGCUAGCGUUGCUCGGAAUCACUGGGCGUAAAGGGUGCGUAGGCGGGUCUUUAAGUCAGGGGUGAAAUCCUGGAGCUCAACUCCAGAACUGCCUUUGAUACUGAAGAUCUUGAGUUCGGGAGAGGUGAGUGGAACUGCGAGUGUAGAGGUGAAAUUCGUAGAUAUUCGCAAGAACACCAGUGGCGAAGGCAGCCCCCUGGGCCAAUACUGACGCUCAUGCACGAAAGCGUGGGGAGCAAACAGG
RNAcentral lists this ribosomal RNA (253 nucleotides) under uncultured bacterium. RNAcentral describes it as "partial 16S ribosomal RNA". It matches the Rfam family "Bacterial small subunit ribosomal RNA", at positions 524 to 776 of the family's 1533-position model. The record is from RNAcentral.